UUUAACUGAGAUGGAAAAAUACUGAACAGACGUCUUGGAACUAUGUCUAUCACAGUAUAAAGAAUACUGUUUUACAUACGUCUUGUCAGUUCCCUGUUCUGCCCUGCGUGGUAUUACAGUGAGCCCGUAUAUACGAAAGUUGCAUUUGCCAUUUAUUACUUAGCUAAUAAAAAAUACAUAGUAUAAAAUCGGUGACUCAUUGUUAUAUUUAUCCUGAUACCAGAUUCGAAUUUACGCAACCCUAACAAUUUGGUGACCACCGACGUGAUCUGGUAGAAGGACGACGCUGGAAAUUGUCCGGCCGAUUGGCCAGUACUGUCGUUGGGCGGUGUGUCUCACAAAUCCUGACCGGUCAACUAAAGAAGGAUUUUAUGCAUUACAGGUGAACUACAGGUGAAGUCACUCAAUCCAGUCCUAGAGGCUUGUUGGGGGGACCAUACCAAGGUCUCCAGGUGACAGCUAGCUGAAAAGCUACCCGGAUUCAUAUCGCACGGCGGGAGGGUAAGACACACUGACACUAUCGAACAAUAAACAGUGUUCGAGAGGAGAACUGGAAUUAACAGAAUUCCGGGGGCCAUCUCUCGAAUGAAGUAACCCUCCCUGUCCUGUCACCCCUGUUUUUGUUCAUAGAAGUGAAGAUGUGUCUGGCUCUUGCUAAGUGAUGUGUUCUCGGGGAAAGGGUGGGGCUUCACAUGGAAGCUGUUCGUCUGAGCUGUCUUAUCGUGGGUGCUAUAUUCCUGAUACAGCACGUCCUACCUGAGUAUGCGGAGAGUGGUAAUUUGACCCAUGGUUUAGACGAUGAGGAUUUUGUUCCAAAAUAAGCAUAAGAGAUCCCUAGAUCUGGGUAGACAGGAAGUUAGAGUAGAGGUUGGGAAGGAUCUCUCAAUGGAGUUUUAUGUAGACCAAAAUGGAGUCUCUAACUACAUGCCAGUCUAGGACACUGAGCCAUUAUGGGAUAUAUCGGUGCAGGUUCCCAUAUUGAUCGUGGGCACAGGUCAUAGGUCAUUUGGAGAGAGAGGGCUAUAUGAAUCCACUCACCCAGUAUGGAAGGACAAAGUAUACAUUGAUAACAUUGGGGUUCCACGGACGUGGACUGGAUUAAUUAUAUUUAUUAUAAUCAACAGCGCUUUAACAAUUAUACCAGAGAUGCUAUUAAAGGUUUUGCAGAACAGACUGAAGCAACCAGCCUGAUGGCUUGGCAGAAUAUAAUUGCAUUAGAUAUGUUAUUGUCUGAAAAGGGAGAAGUAUGCGUGAUUAUCAGGACCAUGUUUGUGCUUACAUCCCAAAUAACACAACUCUGGACGAAUCAGUGCCCGAAGCCUCAGCUGGUUUGACCACCCUGGCUCACGGGUUUGCAGAAAACUCUGGGGUGGAUACUUCUCUGACUAAUAUAAUUUGAUAGUAUGUUGGGAAAAUGAAAAAAAAUAUAUAUAUUAUGAUCACUGUAUUAUGGGCUACAUUCACCUGUGUGGCUGUUUAGUUUUAUGGGGCUGUUGUCUAAUUCCCUGUGUAUGAGGCCUUAUUUCCAGGACUCUGGAGAAAUCGAUGGAAAUAGAUGGUGAGGUACCAGUGGAUUCCAGGUUCUGACCCGUGGAGUGGUGAAUGCAUGUCUACAGAACAAGUGGACGAAAAUGAUAAAUUAAAUUAUAUUAAAUUGGGAGGGUGUCCGUAUGGGGAUUACAUGAUAACCGACUUGGGACAGUUCUGGGAUUGGAGAAGAGGGUAUCCUUAGAGCAUAGGGGAUCCCACAAAGGUGGAUAGGUUUUCCAUGAUAUGGGGAAAACCUGGGAGCACUGUUGAACUUUGUAAAGGUGAUGAAAUCCUACUAACCAUCAAAACUAUUAAGCUCUCUGAUGCAGACACUUACACCCUCGGACUACAAAGGACCGGGACAGACACGAUGGGUGUGUUUUCUAUUAAGGUGCUGCCAAAACCAGAGGUCCCAGACGAACCAGGGCCAGACACACUCCUCUACCACCCCUGGACCGAACCUGCCACCACUGUGUUAAAAAUCCCAUUCAGGUAAUUAAUGUUAGAGACUAUUCAGCUAUUGAUCAAUUAGGCACUGAGACUGGUUUUGAUGGUAGGGACAAUUUGUGGCUGUCUUAUAUGAGGUAUACAGCUAAGACCCUGAAAAGAAAGGACUGCAUGAGUUACAUGAAACAUUGGUCAUGCUAGACCUGUUCUGGCUUCACACCCAUUUGCUAUAGGAAAAGGAGAGGGGUGGUUGUGUAUUCUGAGGUUUUUUACCAGGUUUAGCCCAAUUCAACUCUCUGUUCCUCUUUGAGCCUUGUGUUUCCUACAGUACCUCCUCAUCGGGCCCCUUGGGGUGUUAAGGCAUAUGGGGGCAAUUACAGUUGCAUCACGGGUACAGGUAAUGGCAUUGAUUAUGGGAGAUUGCCUGAAGCUGAUUGCAGUAGUAACAUAACCAUUAAUUCCACUUGGCCAGUUACAGGCCUAAACCAAACUAGUGGUCUGGCUGAUGUGUGGUGGAUCUGUGGACCCAAAAGAGUGCUGAGACCCAUUCUUAGAGGAUACUGGCAAGGUACGUGUGCUCUGACCAGUUUGAUAAUUCCACUGACCAUUGUUGAUGUUACUGCUGAGCAGCUGUUGGGUUCUGUAUCCAGGGGACCUGAAAACAUUCCAUCCCAUGGGAGACAUAGACGUAGUGCUCCAUGGACAGAGGAUGUAGUUGACAUACACACUAACCUGUUGGGAGUGCCAGUGGGGGUUCCUCAUGAGUUUCAGGCCUUGGGUAGGAAUGAUGGACUCUGGCACUUACUACCUAUUAUGGAUCCAGCCAUAGUGGAUGCUAGACAGACUGCAUGGAUUAAUUAUAUCUACUAUAAUCAACAGCGUUUUGUGAAUUAAUCCCGUGAUGCACUCACUGGUAUGUUUGAACAGCUUGAGGCCACAUCUAGGGUUGCCAGCCAGAAUAGACUUGCUUUGGAUAUGCUUUUUGCCAGUCAGGGGGGUGUCUGCAAGAUGUUCGGUGAACAAUGUUGCACGUAUAUUCCUAAUAACACCAGUCCAGAUGGUAGUAUAUCUAAGGCCCUUAGUGGGCUUGAUGCACUAUCUGGUGAGAUGAGGACCAUGGCGGGGGUGGAGGAGUCUGGACUGUUCUCUUGGUUGGGAGCCUGGUUUGGUAAGUACACUGGUAUGGUGGUUACUGGAUUUCUGACCCUAAUUCUUGUAUUCUUGUUAUUGAUGUGUUGUGCUGCUUGCAUCAUACCGUGUUUUAAGAAGUCUGUUACAGAUGUGGUGAAGGCUUCAGGCAUGAUGCCUUUGCUUGAUGCUCCAGUUGGAGAUGCUGAUACUGAAGCAUGCUUUCAGGGGAGGAUAAGACUGACUGAGGAUGACUCAUGGCAUGCUGUGGGUGAGGUAGUAGAAUACAUUUUACACCACCACAGUUCCUUGUUAUACAUUUUUUAUGAUAGGUUUUCUUUCCAGUAUGUUUGUUCUCCCUGUUGUGAAGGUUUGGAGUCCCUGGGUAGCAUGGUGCCCACCUGGUGCAGGAUAGGAGUAGCUGAGAGGACCAGAUGGUUUAUAAUAAUGCUUUGCUCUGCUUUAAUCUGUUUUCCAUGACCAAAGAUUUAUCCUACAUCUUUACAUGUCAAUAAACAAUAAAGUCUUAUCCUGUUUCUGUCAAAAGGGGGAGACAAAAGCAUAUACCACUUGUUGAUUUUUCUUUUUUCUUGGUUGAUUUUUAUUUUCUGUUUUUCUGUAAAAAAGAAAUAAUAAUAAUAAUGUUUUAUUAAUAAUAAACUUGUUAUUUUCAUGAAAUGCUAUUAACACAUUACUAUGUUGGGACCACUGAAAUAAGGAUAAUGAGUGACACCCUGGAGGGUGUCAACAGGGGGAUUGUUGGAUCCUGUGUUUUACAUUAUAGCCAUUAGUAUAUAUAUGAUUAAAUAUCAUCUGAUGUUGGUUGUGUGAGGUGUCUGCAUUUGUGCACUGGAGCAUCAUUAUGAGAUUAAACAACUGCUUGCUACUUGCCUGUUUGUGUGUGACAAGAACUGAGGAACAUGGUGUGACCUGGAUGUUGCAAAACUGUAGAUAACAGCCCAGCAGAUGCUUUGUCCUUGUGU
Long non-coding RNA from Oncorhynchus tshawytscha (Chinook salmon), 4088 nucleotides. RefSeq lists it as uncharacterized. The record is from RefSeq and is a predicted model, not a curated record. The transcript has 2 exons. Lineage: Eukaryota; Metazoa; Chordata; Actinopteri; Salmoniformes; Salmonidae.